This is a long non-coding RNA of Ostrea edulis (European flat oyster), 1089 nucleotides long. RefSeq lists it as uncharacterized. Lineage: Eukaryota; Metazoa; Mollusca; Bivalvia; Ostreida; Ostreidae. The record is from RefSeq and is a predicted model, not a curated record. The transcript is spliced from 5 exons.
UAGUUGUUAAUUAAGUACAAGUUGUAUUGAGACGCUUGGUGAAUAUCGUGUUUAAUUCAUUUUAAAUGGAUCACAUCAUAUAAUUCAUAGUAUAAUAUACUUAUAGUACCGAAAGUCUAUAAACAUUUCUAAUAUUGAAAUUGCAAAAUAAGUUGUAUAUGAUCACUGAUGUCUUCGAUUACGAAUGUUUUUUGUAUAAAAUUUAAAGAAAUCUUGAACAAGAUGUAAGGAUAAGCUGACAGAGGUAUUGUUUCUACUAACGAGGUAAAAUUGGUAACUACGAUGUCUGUAUUUGGUGACAAAACUAUAUCAUAAUCGUAUUAAUUCAUUCAUGAUCUCAAUGUACCAUGCAUUUUGUUUCAUUUAAAAUAGAAUGGCAAUGAUAUCAUGUUAAAGGAUUACAUCAGCAUGCGCUGGCUUUCAUGGAUGUUGGUGUGGGUGCUAGUAAUACACGUUUCCUCCGGUUGUUUCGGAUGCUGUCAAGAAGAUGGAUGAUGUUAUAUAACAUUUCGGGCUGGCAGCUUAUUUUUCAUGCCGUCAAGGGUAACAGACAGGCUGUUCACACAGCGUGGCAUAGACAUUCCCCGCCAAGAUGCACACCAAAUGAAAGGUUUCAAUAUUGAUAAUUGGGAAGAUAAUGGCAAACAUCUUCGGAAUCCUCUCAUUGAUCGAUGACAAUCUCUCAGCAUACUGAAGAUCCUCAUAACGAUUCAAGCUACCAAGAAAGCAUGUCACUAGGUCAACUGCCGCAUGAUCUGGAUUUGCACUCUGCUUUUGACUGCUCCAUUAACCUGACCAAGUUAAGGAGCUCACGGCAGAUAUAACCCGUCGACAGAGGACUCUUACCCUUCCUAGAUUUUGUAUCCCAGCAAAGAUCCACGCCCUGUCAUAACGUUCCCGCAUACAGUUGUCAAAAGACGGUAACAAUUAGUCAUGUAUAUAUUAUGCAGAGGACGAAGUUAUGUCCUAAACUGAUCCUGAUGUGGCUGAUGUGAUGAACGUUUAUAUCCAAAGAGCAUGAUGCUGCCUUUUUGUCAGAAACGAAUGAUUUGCUUGUAGAUAAUUAUAUACAUAAUAAAGUGAACAAUC